Molecule: ribosomal RNA, 88 nt
Filed under: Actinomyces bowdenii
Lineage: Bacteria; Bacillati; Actinomycetota; Actinomycetes; Actinomycetales; Actinomycetaceae
Source: RNAcentral
CGGACCCAUCCCGAACCCGGAAGCUAAGCCAGCCAGCGCCGAUGGUACUGCACCCGCCAGGGUGCGGGAGAGUAGGACACCACCGAGC